AACGCUAGCUACAGGCUUAACACAUGCAAGUCGAGGGGAAACGACAUCGAAAGCUUGCUUUUGAUGGGCGUCGACCGGCGCACGGGUGAGUAACGCGUAUCCAACCUGCCCNCCACUUGGGGAUAACCUUGCGAAAGUAAGACUAAUACCCAAUGAUAGCCCACGAAGGCAUCCGAAUGGGAUUAAAGAUUUAUCGGUGAUGGAUGGGGAUGCGUCUGAUUAGCUUGUUGGCGGGGUAACGGCCCACCAAGGCAACGAUCAGUAGGGGUUCUGAGAGGAAGGUCCCCCACAUUGGAACUGAGACACGGUCCAAACUCCUACGGGAGGCAGCAGUGAGGAAUAUUGGUCAAUGGGCGAGAGCCUGAACCAGCCAAGUAGCGUGCAGGAUGACGGCCCUAUGGGUUGUAAACUGCUUUUAUAAGGGAAUAAAGUGGGUCACGUGUGACUUUUUGCAUGUACCUUAUGAAUAAGGACCGGCUAAUUCCGUGCCAGCAGCCGCGGUAAUACGGAAGGUCCGGGCGUUAUCCGGAUUUAUUGGGUUUAAAGGGAGCGUAGGCCGGAGAUUAAGCGUGUUGUGAAAUGUAGUGGCUCAACCUCUGCACUGCAGCGCGAACUGGUCUUCUUGAGUACGCACAACGUGGGCGGAAUUCGUGGUGUAGCGGUGAAAUGCUUAGAUAUCACGAAGAACUCCGAUUG
This 696-nucleotide ribosomal RNA is filed under the name uncultured bacterium. RNAcentral's name for it is "bacterial SSU rRNA". It matches the Rfam family "Bacterial small subunit ribosomal RNA", at positions 32 to 715 of the family's 1533-position model. The record is from RNAcentral.